This 771-nucleotide ribosomal RNA is filed under the name uncultured bacterium. RNAcentral's name for it is "bacterial SSU rRNA". It matches the Rfam family "Bacterial small subunit ribosomal RNA", at positions 9 to 771 of the family's 1533-position model. The record is from RNAcentral.
GAGUUUGAUCCUGGCUCAGGAUGAACGCUAGCGGCAGGCUUAACACAUGCAAGUCGAGGGGUAACAGGAUUUAGUUUACUAGAUUGCUGACGACCGGCGCACGGGUGAGUAACGCGUAUACAAUUUGCCUUUUACUGGAGGAUAGCCAAGAGAAAUUUUGAUUAAUACUCCAUAGUAUUAUUUGAUCACCUGGUCGAAUAAUUAGAGCUCCGGCGGUAAAAGAUGAGUAUGCGUCCUAUUAGCUUGAUGGUAAGGUAACGGCUUACCAUGGCAACGAUAGGUAGGGGUCCUGAGAGGGAGAUCCCCCACACUGGUACUGAGACACGGACCAGACUCCUACGGGAGGCAGCAGUGAGGAAUAUUGGGCAAUGGAGGCAACUCUGACCCAGCCAUGCCGCGUGCAGGAAGACGGCCCUAUGGGUUGUAAACUGCUUUUAUACAGGAAGAAACUUAUCCACGUGUGGAUAACUGACGGUACUGUAAGAAUAAGGACCGGCUAACUCCGUGCCAGCAGCCGCGGUAAUACGGAGGGUCCAAGCGUUAUCCGGAAUCAUUGGGUUUAAAGGGUCCGUAGGCGGGCAAUUAAGUCAGAGGUGAAAUCCCACAGCUCAACUGUGGAACUGCCUUUGAUACUGGUUGUCUUGAGUUAUAGUGAAGUAGAUAGAAUAUGUAGUGUAGCGGUGAAAUGCAUAGAUAUUACAUAGAAUACCGAUUGCGAAGGCAGUCUACUAACUGUACACUGACGCUNAUGGACGAAAGCGUGGGGAGCGA